Molecule: ribosomal RNA, 763 nt
Filed under: uncultured Streptococcus sp.
Lineage: Bacteria; Bacillati; Bacillota; Bacilli; Lactobacillales; Streptococcaceae
Description: bacterial SSU rRNA
Rfam family: Bacterial small subunit ribosomal RNA
Source: RNAcentral
GACGAACGCUGGCGGCGUGCCUAAUGCAUGCAAGUAGAACGCUGAAGGAGGAGCUUGCUUCUCUGGAUGAGUUGCGAACGGGUGAGUAACGCGUAGGUAACCUGCCUGGUAGCGGGGGAUAACUAUUGGAAACGAUAGCUAAUACCGCAUAAGAGUAGAUGUUGCAUGACAUUUGCUUAAAAGGUGCAAUUGCAUCACUACCAGAUGGACCUGCGUUGUAUUAGCUAGUUGGUGGGGUAACGGCUCACCAAGGCGACGAUACAUAGCCGACCUGAGAGGGUGAUCGGCCACACUGGGACUGAGACACGGCCCAGACUCCUACGGGAGGCAGCAGUAGGGAAUCUUCGGCAAUGGACGGAAGUCUGACCGAGCAACGCCGCGUGAGUGAAGAAGGUUUUCGGAUCGUAAAGCUCUGUUGUAAGAGGAGAACGAGUGUGAGAGUGGAAAGUUCACACUGUGACGGUAUCUUACCAGAAAGGGACGGCUAACUACGUGCCAGCAGCCGCGGUAAUACGUAGGUCCCGAGCGUUGUCCGGAUUUAUUGGGCGUAAAGCGAGCGCAGGCGGUUAGAUAAGUCUGAAGUUAAAGGCUGUGGCUUAACCAUAGUACGCUUUGGAAACUGUUUAACUUGAGUGCAAGAGGGGAGAGUGGAAUUCCAUGUGUAGCGGUGAAAUGCGUAGAUAUAUGGAGGAACACCGGUGGCGAAAGCGGCUCUCUGGCUUGUAACUGACGCUGAGGCUCGAAAGCGUGGGGAGCAAACAGG